Molecule: ribosomal RNA, 626 nt
Filed under: Vibrio sp. 2-2(2)
Lineage: Bacteria; Pseudomonadati; Pseudomonadota; Gammaproteobacteria; Vibrionales; Vibrionaceae
Also listed under: 1 other name
Description: partial 23S ribosomal RNA
Rfam family: Bacterial large subunit ribosomal RNA
Source: RNAcentral
GGCUCAGACAGCCAGGAUGUUGGCUUAGAAGCAGCCAUCAUUUAAAGAAAGCGUAAUAGCUCACUGGUCGAGUCGGCCUGCGCGGAAGAUGUAACGGGGCUAAGUAGUAAACCGAAGCUGCGGCAAUGCACUUUGUGCAUUGGGUAGGGGAGCGUUCUGUAAGCGGUUGAAGGUGUGUGGUAACGCAUGCUGGACGUAUCAGAAGUGCGAAUGCUGACAUGAGUAACGAUAAAGGGGGUGAAAAACCUCCUCGCCGGAAGACCAAGGGUUCCUGUCCAACGUUAAUCGGGGCAGGGUAAGUCGACCCCUAAGGCGAGGCCGAAAGGCGUAGUCGAUGGGAAACGGGUUAAUAUUCCCGUACUUCUUACAAUUGCGAUGGGGGGACGGAGAAGGCUAGGUGGGCCUGGCGACGGUUGUCCAGGUUCAAGUGCGUAGGCUGAGAAAUUAGGUAAAUCCGGUUUCUCUUAAGGCUGAGACACGACGUCGAGCUACUACGGUAGUGAAGUCAUUGAUGCCAUGCUUCCAGGAAAAGCCUCUAAGCUUCAGAUUGUAAGGAAUCGUACCCCAAACCGACACAGGUGGUCGGGUAGAGAAUACCAAGGCGCUUGAGAGAACUCGGGUGAAGG